This is a non-coding RNA of Pelobates cultripes (western spadefoot toad), 480 nucleotides long. NCBI's taxonomy places the organism in Eukaryota, Metazoa, Chordata, Amphibia, Anura, Pelobatidae. The record is from the annotation of a GenBank genome assembly.
CGGCACGCCAAUGGAUUGAGACCGGCAGGGGAGAUCUCUGGAUCUCCCCGGUCGGCUCAUGCAGAGCCGACACUAUCCGAGCGGCGGCUCUGGUCUAAGCCUCCAUGGGCCGGUGGGGAGAUCAAAGUUCUACCUCACCGUUCCACAGCAGCAUGGAGGGAGGCAGCAGAGAACCCGGGCUAGAAUUCACUCUCCACUGAACCACCAGGGAAGGCAGCAGGACUGGGAUAUUAACUAGUCUGCCCCCACCUCCGCCCAAACAUACAGCACACACACAUACAGCACACACAGCCCACAAACAGCACCCACACACACACACAUCACCCUCGCACACACAGCACCCACACACAUACAACACCCACACACACCCAGCACACUAACAGCAUCCUCUCAAACACACAAAACCCACACAGCACUCACACACAAACAGCACACUCUCAUACAAACAGCACCCUGACAAACACACAACCCCCGCACACA